GUGUCGGUGGUAUAGUGGUUAGCAUAGCUGCCUUCCAAGCAGUUGACCCGGGUUUGAUUCUCGGCCGACGCA
Molecule: transfer RNA, 72 nt
Filed under: Dermacentor andersoni
Lineage: Eukaryota; Metazoa; Arthropoda; Arachnida; Ixodida; Ixodidae
Description: transfer RNA glycine (anticodon UCC)
Rfam family: tRNA
About the family: Transfer RNA (tRNA) molecules are approximately 80 nucleotides in length. Their secondary structure includes four short double-helical elements and three loops (D, anti-codon, and T loops). Further hydrogen bonds mediate the characteristic L-shaped molecular structure. tRNAs have two regions of fundamental functional importance: the anti-codon, which is responsible for specific mRNA codon recognition, and the 3' end, to which the tRNAs corresponding amino acid is attached (by aminoacyl-tRNA synthetases). tRNAs cope with the degeneracy of the genetic code in two manners: having more than one tRNA (with a specific anti-codon) for a particular amino acid; and 'wobble' base-pairing, i.e. permitting non-standard base-pairing at the 3rd anti-codon position.
Source: RNAcentral